Molecule: ribosomal RNA, 253 nt
Filed under: uncultured bacterium
Lineage: Bacteria
Description: partial 16S ribosomal RNA
Rfam family: Bacterial small subunit ribosomal RNA
Source: RNAcentral
UACAGAGGGUGCGAGCGUUAAUCGGAAUUACUGGGCGUAAAGCGCGCGUAGGCGGCUUUGCAAGUCGAGUGUGAAAUCCCCAGGCUUAACCUGGGAACUGCAUUCGAGACUGCAUAGCUAGAGUAUGGGAGAGGGAAGUGGAAUUUCAGGUGUAGCGGUGAAAUGCGUAGAUAUCGGAAGGAACACCUGUGGCGAAAGCGGCUCACUGGACCAUUACUGACGCUGAGGCACGAAAGCUAGGGGAGCAAACAGG